AUGUGUAUAAUUUCAUAUCAAGUGGAAUGCAACAUGCGUAAUAAAGUAAAGCAGUUAAGAGUGAUAGCAGAUGAAGUGUAUAUGAUAUACAGUCAUCCAAAAUAAAAUAAGAUAGUAAAGCUCUACAUAUGGCAUAGAGCCUUUCAAAAGAAGAAAAGAGUAAAGGAAACUNAGUUAUAUACAACCAAAUAACUGAGCUACACUACUCUACAACAUCAGCAGUGACUGGAACAUCAGGGUCCUCUAAGAUCUGCUCCAAAGGUGCCUCUCCUACCUCUGCUCACAUCCAUAAUUGGAUGAUCAUUGCAGAAGGAACAACCACAAACAAAACAGACAACACACAUGCAAGGGUAAGCUAGAAUUCAAAUGAAAACAAAUCAAUUACAAUUAAAC
RNAcentral lists this long non-coding RNA (393 nucleotides) under Vigna radiata. RNAcentral's name for it is "long non-coding RNA (VRAD_LNC003747)". Lineage: Eukaryota; Viridiplantae; Streptophyta; Magnoliopsida; Fabales; Fabaceae. The record is from RNAcentral.